UCUCAGUUCGGAUCGGAGUCUGCAACCCGACUCCGUGAAGCUGGAUUCGCUAGUAAUCGCGCAUCAGCCAUGGCGCGGUGAAUACGUUCCCGGGCCUUGUACACACCGCCCGUCAAGCCAUGGGAGCCGGGGGUGCUUGAAGUGCGUCGCCGCGAGGCGCGCCCUAGAGCAAAACCGGUGACUGGGGCUAAGUCGUAACAAGGUAUC
RNAcentral lists this ribosomal RNA (207 nucleotides) under uncultured bacterium. RNAcentral's name for it is "partial 16S ribosomal RNA". It matches the Rfam family "Bacterial small subunit ribosomal RNA", at positions 1286 to 1500 of the family's 1533-position model. The record is from RNAcentral.